This 1381-nucleotide long non-coding RNA is filed under the name Heterocephalus glaber (naked mole-rat). RNAcentral's name for it is "lncRNA (ENSHGLG00000042128.1)". Lineage: Eukaryota; Metazoa; Chordata; Mammalia; Rodentia; Bathyergidae. The record is from RNAcentral.
GCCUGGGCAGCAGCGGUUCUGUGCCAGGUGAAAGUGCCCGUGCCCGAAUCACGUGAGAAACUCGCCAGCGGUGGCUCAGUGGCCGCAGCCUGUUCUGUUGGCUUCCUGUCGAGGCCUCGUGGCCCCAGUGUGACCUCACCUGGUAGAAGGCCCCACGCGCGUCACUCCCAGCCACCAGGAUGGAGGUGAAGGGCGGGACCCGGAGCGCAGAUGCACCCACUGGGCACUGGGCACGCGGACAGGGGCCCAGGAACGUGGUGUCGGAUGCAAGGAGGACUGCACAGGUGGCCACCUAGCCAGCCACCCCAAACUCUGUCAUAACCCAGCGUGAUGCCCACGCCCUCAAUCCCAGCACUUGGGAGGCUGAGGAAGGAGGAUCUCAAGUUCACACCCAGGCUGAACAAUUUAACAAGCAAUUUAAGACCCUGUCUAAAAAAGAAUUCAAGUGCUAGGUAGUGUAGCUCAGGGUCCAGGCGGGCCCUUCGGUCCUCCAGACCUUCAAAAACAACAAACACCAAAACACUUUCUUGGGGGUUCCACUUGAGCGUCUGUGGUCCCCACUCCUGCUAGUUCUGACUGGCAGUGUGGCCCGUUCGUUCUGGGUAGGCUGAUCCCGCGUCAGUCCUCCACACCUCAGCCUCUGUCCAGCAUCCCGCAGCCGCUGCCGUGAUCAGAUGGGGCAGAGCUCUUUGGUCCAACAUGCCACCACCUGACUCCUCGCCGGCCCCGGCAGCUUCCGUGUGUGGACGCUGUCCUGUCCCACCACUCCGCUGAGCCGAGGAGAGAGCGCUCCAGCCGUCACUGCGUGUAGAGUUUGGCCCCGACUGCAUCGUGGUGAAAUGUCUCCGUUUAAAAAUACUAAGCGAGCUGGACAUGCAAGCACAUGCUUGCCAUGCGAACUACCUCGGAGGCUGAGGCAGAAGAGUUCAACCCCAGCGGCGUGACUGAGUGAGACACUGUCUCAAAAACAGUUUUUUAAAGGGCCGGGGAUGUACGUCAGUGGUGAGCAUGGGGAUCUGGACGGGACGCUCUGGUACUGGAAAAGGGUCCCAAGUGCUCCCCAGGGGCGCCUGCGAUGCUCCGCAAGUUCCAGUCACCCUUUUCCCUGCGCUGCUCCCCUCAGCUGUGCAGAUGAGCUCGAGUUCCCACACCCCCCGCUCGCACCCAGCCCGCCCGCAGUACGAGACUUCCAUCUGUCGCCACUCUGAGGUCACUUCCAGUUUCUUUGCUGUUUGUUCCUUUUGUCUUUUCUUUUUCCUUUAGUAUUAGUGCCUACUAAUUUUACAAAGUGUUAGGUUUCAAUGCAUAUAUUUGGAUCAUCUCCAUCCCCUCUGUUACCUGCCCUUAGGCCCCUAUUCCUUACUCCCUUCCUUUCUACUUC